UACGUAGGGUGCAAGCGUUGUUCGGAAUUAUUGGGCGUAAAGCGCGCGCAGGCCGCCCUGCAAGUCUGAUGUGAAAGCCCGGGGCUCAACCUCGGAAUGGCAUUGGAAACUGUGGGGCUUGAGUCCGGGAGGGGCCCGUGGAAUUCCUGGUGUAGGGGUGAAAUCCGUAGAGAUCAGGAGGAACACCGGAGGUGAAAACGACGGGCUGGACCGGAACUGACGCUGAGGCGCGAAAGCGCGGGUAGCGAACAGG
This 253-nucleotide ribosomal RNA is filed under the name uncultured bacterium. RNAcentral describes it as "partial 16S ribosomal RNA". It matches the Rfam family "Bacterial small subunit ribosomal RNA", at positions 524 to 776 of the family's 1533-position model. The record is from RNAcentral.